Molecule: transfer RNA, 82 nt
Filed under: Microbacterium arborescens
Lineage: Bacteria; Bacillati; Actinomycetota; Actinomycetes; Micrococcales; Microbacteriaceae
Also listed under: 34 other names
Description: tRNA-Leu
Rfam family: tRNA
About the family: Transfer RNA (tRNA) molecules are approximately 80 nucleotides in length. Their secondary structure includes four short double-helical elements and three loops (D, anti-codon, and T loops).
Source: RNAcentral
GCGGGAGUGGUGGAAUUGGCAGACACGCAGGAUUUAGGUUCCUGUGCCUCACGGCGUGUGGGUUCAAGUCCCACCUUCCGCA